RNAcentral lists this ribosomal RNA (245 nucleotides) under uncultured Bacillus sp. Its description in RNAcentral is "partial 16S ribosomal RNA". It matches the Rfam family "Bacterial small subunit ribosomal RNA", at positions 524 to 768 of the family's 1533-position model. Lineage: Bacteria; Bacillati; Bacillota; Bacilli; Caryophanales; Bacillaceae. The record is from RNAcentral.
UACGUAGGUGGCAAGUGUUGUCCGGAAUUAUUGGGCGUAAAGCGCGCGCAGGCGGUUUCUUAAGUCUGAUGUGAAAGCCCCCGGCUCAACCGGGGAGGGUCAUUGGAAACUGGGGAACUUGAGUGCAGAAGAGGAGAGUGGAAUUCCACGUGUAGCGGUGAAAUGCGUAGAGAUGUGGAGGAACACCAGUGGCGAAGGCGACUCUCUGGUCUGUAACUGACGCUGAGGCGCGAAAGCGUGGGGAG